UACGUAGGUCCCGAGCGUUAUCCGGAUUUAUUGGGCGUAAAGCGAGCGCAGGCGGUUAGAUAAGUCUGAAGUUAAAGGCUGUGGCUUAACCAUAGUACGCUUUGGAAACUGUUUAACUUGAGUGCAGAAGGGGAGAGUGGAAUUCCAUGUGUAGCGGUGAAAUGCGUAGAUAUAUGGAGGAACACCGGUGGCGAAAGCGGCUCUCUGGUCUGUAACUGACGCUGAGGCUCGAAAGCGUGGGGAGCAAAC
Molecule: ribosomal RNA, 249 nt
Filed under: uncultured Streptococcaceae bacterium
Lineage: Bacteria; Bacillati; Bacillota; Bacilli; Lactobacillales; Streptococcaceae
Description: partial 16S ribosomal RNA
Rfam family: Bacterial small subunit ribosomal RNA
Source: RNAcentral